UAUAUUACAAAUCAGGAUGGUGCAGUAUUCUAGUCGGCCCUCCGAUUCUGAAGGCGGGCCUAAAAAUCCGCCAAAGGGCACAUCGAUGAAGUUCCUUGUGUUGGCUUGAGGCGCCCAGCCUUGGGUCGAUGCUGGGAGUUAAGGUUGCGGGGCGAUCCACAAUGGCAUGUGGGCGUUGACCCUGCUUCCGCGGAGGCCCAAUAUCGUAGGAGGCUGUUCUCAUACGUCUGCUAUGAAUUGGGGUAUGAACCUGUGAGGUUGUUUUUGGGAAGAUAAUCCACAGCGUAGCCUGCCUUGAGUGGCACUGAGGGGAUUAUGGUUCAUAAACAUUCAUCUAUAUGGCCAAUAGAUGGAUGUUUACACCGCCAUAUGAAAUCAGCGCUGCAAAAGAGGCUAGGGAUCGGUCAAAGGCUGUCGAGGAAAUCUCCUAGACUGUUCUGAUGGACACCUAAGAGGGAUUAUAGUGCGGACUAAGUGGCAAUCCAGUCUAGUUUCUGGUGACGGAGCUAAGGCAGAUUUAAAGGGGAACCGCCGUUGUGGCAACACUCGGUAUCUGCUUGGGAAAACCUACUGGACCUAAGCCGCAGUUUUAAUCUUUUAGGUGACCAUCCUGUAAUACAUAAUG
This 625-nucleotide small RNA is filed under the name Pontibacillus yanchengensis Y32. Lineage: Bacteria; Bacillati; Bacillota; Bacilli; Caryophanales; Bacillaceae. The record is from RNAcentral.